RNAcentral lists this ribosomal RNA (303 nucleotides) under Triticum aestivum (bread wheat). RNAcentral's name for it is "partial small subunit ribosomal RNA". Lineage: Eukaryota; Viridiplantae; Streptophyta; Magnoliopsida; Poales; Poaceae. The record is from RNAcentral.
AGCAAGCGCACGAAGGCGUACACAGCUGCCGAGGACAAGCUUCUUUGCGAGUGUUGGCGAGACAUUGGACAAGACCCAAAGACGGGCGCCGAGCAAAAGCAUUCGACCUUUUGGACUCGUGUGCACCGCGAGUUUCAUGAGCGCAAGAAGUUUCCACCUUACCAAUUUGUGAGCACGCGCGGGUGGGUCUUCAUUUCCAAGCGGUGGAGGGUGAUCCAACAAGAGUGCAACAAGUUUUGCGCCACCCUUGAGAGCGUCAAGGCCCGCCCCGUGAGCGGCAUCGGCGUGCAAGACAUGGUAUGA